Molecule: long non-coding RNA, 534 nt
Filed under: Marmota monax (woodchuck)
Lineage: Eukaryota; Metazoa; Chordata; Mammalia; Rodentia; Sciuridae
Source: RNAcentral
GAAUAAAUACUACUCAGGGAUUGACAUGGUAGAGGGAAGUGAAGCAAUGUUUAAAUAUGAUAAAAUUAACCAUUUUGUUUUCAGAGCACAGGAAGCACGAGAAAGCUGCUACCUGGAGGAGUGGGGUGAACCUGAUGAUCUACUAUCUAAGUGUGGAGAAAUAAUUUUGUCAUUGCAAUGAAUGUCUCAUUAUAAUGAAUUUCACUAAUCUCUGUAUAUCUGAGUUAAUUUUUAGAGAAAAAAAUAUACAUAGACAAACAAGCGCAUAUUUCUUCCAGAUUUCAAAAUGCCUUCUUAAACUUUCUGGGAUUAAGAUGGGUUUUGAUUUAUAAAAUCUUUCUGAUUGCAUUUUGAGUGCUGUGUUAAUUCUGAGGAUAUGAUAAAUCCUUUAUUCUAGACUAAAAAAAAUUUCUGUAUUUUGACAUGAGAUUUUUGUCAUUGGAAUACAUAAUUUGUCUUCAUUAAAUAUAAAGCAAAUGCACAGACUGUGAAAAUUAACCAUCUUAAAAACUGCAUAUAAAACUGUAUGUUGUC